Molecule: ribosomal RNA, 482 nt
Filed under: uncultured bacterium
Lineage: Bacteria
Description: bacterial SSU rRNA
Rfam family: Bacterial small subunit ribosomal RNA
Source: RNAcentral
GAUGAACGCUGGCGGCAUGCCUAAUACAUGCAAGUCGAACGAGAGGAAGGAAAGCUUGCUUUCCUGAAUCUAGUGGCGAACGGGUGAGUAACACGUAGGUAACCUGCCCAUGUGCCCGGGAUAACGCCUGGAAACGGGUGCUAAAACCGGAUAGGUAUCGCUUCUGCAUGGAAGAGAUAUUAAAGGAGCUGCAAGGCUCUGAACAUGGAUGGACCUGCGGUGCAUUAGCUGGUUGGUGAGGUAACGGCCCACCAAGGCGACGAUGCAUAGCCGGCCUGAGAGGGUGAACGGCCACAUUGGGACUGAGACACGGGCCCAAACUCCUACGGGAGGCAGCAGUAGGGAAUUUUUCGUCAAUGGGGGCAACCCUGAACGAGCAAUGCCGCGUGAGUGAGGAAGGUCUUCGGAUCGUAAAGCUCUGUUGCAGGAGAAAAACGGCAGAUAUAGGGAAAAUGAUAUCUGAGUGAUGGUAAACCUGCCAG